GAGAUAAUCGUGAAAACAAAACAAACAAAUUAAAUAACAUAAACGCAAAGGAAACACAUUAACACAACGACAGGCGGCAACAUAUAAAAUAAAAUCCGUAAAGGGUAAACUUUGGCACCAGAUCGAGGAUGCACAACUGGCGGCAACUGGCGACGGCGUCGAGCUGGUGGCAAGCACUGCAAACACCCUGUUACUGUUCCACAUCCUGCCACGCGUGCCACUUAUAGAUACAGCUACAGAAAUAUAUAUAUGUAUGUAUAGAUACAAAUGUGCAGCUAUUAGAUACGGCGUGCAUGCACGAAAGAUACUCGCGAAUUGAUGUGGAACAUGUGCCAAUGCUUUGCGCUGUUGGAAGCUGCCGCGAGGGCGACGUUGUCGUUUGAUUUUGGCCAAGUUAAAUAAACAGGGCACACACACACAAAGACGCGCAUACACGCACACACACUCUUACAGACUCGCACGCAAAUAAACAAUAAAUAAGGCCAACCGAGUUGUCAACAAACGCAUCGCUUCUGGCCAACUGUUUGGCAAUAACAUUUGCCCAAAAUGGCCGCGCCCGUCGAUGAGAGCGUGCUCAAUGCGCUGCGGGGCGUGACCAGCGCCCAGACGCGUCUGCCCAAGCCGCUGCUCAUCAAGAUCUAUGUGGCCAGCCUCAAGCAGGAGUUUAACCAGGAGCGGCGCAUGCUGCUCGAGCUGGUCGGGCCCGAGCUGCAGACGCUCUACGAUGAUCGCCAGAUCGAGCUGGAGAUUGUGGACAUGCACUUUGGCACGGGUGCCCUGGAUGUGACGCUGCUCGAACGGGAUCCCUACAUGCAGCAGGAUCUGCUGCACGAGAUUGACACGUGCCACGCCCACUCGAAAAGUGUGUUCUUUUUGGCGCUAAUUGGCGACGGCAUUGGCCGCCCACCGCUGCCCACGCACAUCGACGAGGACAUCUAUGCGGCACUCUCUCUGCCGGCACAGGAUAUGGAGCUGCUUGGACGCUGGUAUGCCAAGGCGGGCGCAGAAACGCAGUUUGUACUCAAACAGGACUAUCGCUCGCUGGCCGCGGAAGAGUGGCUGAGGGAAUCGCGUCUGUUGCAACAGCUGCUGGAGAAAUCGCUGCAACAUCUGGUGACCGCGACAAAUGGGGAUUUGCUGCGCCGCGUGCAGCUGCUGCGACGCACACAAAUCGAGCAGGAAGUGCAGCGGGCCAUGGCACACUCCAGCGAGAAGAUACUGGCCGUGUUCCGGGAGCGUGCUGCACAGUGCAGCGGUCGCGAUGUGGAGGCCGGCGAACGUUUGCGCAAAAUCAAAGAUGAGCUGACCAUGAACCUAUCAACGGAUAAUCACACGACGCUAGUUGUGCCUGGCAGCGCCAGCAGCGAGGCCAUCGAUCCGGACAACGAGGACCACGAGGCGUAUUUAAGUAAAUUCAAGAACAAAGUCACCGACAAGCUGCGUCUGCUAAUCGAGGCGCACAUUACAAAUGAUCCCGAUGUUAUCAAGGGGAGGAAAAAGACUGUGCAGGAAAUCUUUCACGAGCAUGCCACACAUUUGCGGAUGCUGCGCGAGCACACGGAGCGUGUGGUGCUGCUGGAGACGCAAGUGCCGCAACAGCUGCAACUGAAUCUGAUGGCGAAUUUCAAGAACGGCAGCCGGCACGCUCCGUACUUUAUAUGCGGCACACAUGGCAGCGGCAAGAGUGCGCUGAUUAGCACACUCUAUGGCCAGGUGGGCGGCUGGUUUGGCACGACGCGUGUGCAUCGUGUCAUACGCUUUGCGAAGGCCACGCCUCGCUCUGCAUACAAUCUGGAGCUGCUGCGCGUAAUCUGCCAGCAAAUCUCAAUUAUAUUCAACAUACCCGAGGGCUAUUUGCCCAAAGAUGCGUCCUUCGAUCCGCUGUACAUUAACAACUGGUUUCAGAAUCUGUUACGUCGCAUCGAGGACAUGAACAACGACGUGUUGUUUCUGUUCAUCGAUGAUCUGCAUCUGCUGAAUCCGCUGGAUUGCGACAUUGUCGCCGCACUCUCCUGGCUGCCGACAUCGCUGCCCUGGAACGUGCAGAUCAUAUGCAGCUCGACAACGCCCGUCGAACAGCUCAAGUUUACGCCCAUGCAGCGGGAUAGAUUCAAGUCGGCGGAGUAUCAGUUCGAUCUGGGCCUGGAGGCGAAUGCGACCCGGCUGCAGCGACCGGAACAGUGCGCUGCGGAUGUCAGCUUUGUGGCCUAUGUGGAGCAGCAGUUCGACGAGCUGGAGCAGCUCUAUGGCCGGCAGGCGGUGGCCAGUCUGGCGGCCUACAUCACGUGCUCCGAGUACGGGCUGACCGAGACCGAGCUGCUCGAGCUGCUGAUGCCCACCGAUGAUCCCGAGUCGUUAAUAGAGACGCAAAACGGACACUUUAGCUUCGCCAGCUUCAAGAAGAUACACAAGCAAAUGGAUAAGCGCCUGCUGCUGCACGACAAGAUUAUGUCCGGCAAGGUGCUCAUUCAAUGGCGCCACAAUUACUGCGCCACGCUGGCCAAGCGACGGUAUAUGGAUGUGGAGCGAACACGUUGCCUGCACAUGGAGCUGGCCAAUUUGUUUUUCCCCCAGGACGAGGAUGAGAGCACGCUGGAGAAUGAUACAACUCGAAGCGACAGCAAGUCGGUUGUCAGUCUCAAGGAGCGUGAGCCGCACAAGGAUAAGGACAGGGAACGCGAAAAGGAUAACGUAUCGGCUGGCCGUAAAUCAUCCUCAACGCAUCACAACGACGACACAUCCACCUUUUACAAUCCCAUUGCCGCCGAUGUUUCCUACAGCAUGCGGCACGUCGAGGAGAGCUGGCAUCAUCUGAUGCGCUCCGAUGACACGACUCGAUUCAAGCAGAUCGCAGUCUGUAAUUUUGAUUUCCUGCUCGCGGCGGUGCAAACGGUAUCCAUUAGCUACCUGCGCUGCCUAAUCGAACACGUGCGCUGCUAUGUGCUGGACCGGGACAUUGAGCUCAUCUACUACACCAUACGAAAGUCGAGCGAUGUGCUCACCCGGGAUCCCAUGCAGCUGGGCUCACAGCUGGUCUCGUGGCUGCGACCGAUUGGCGAGCACGACGACGACGACAACUCGCUGCUGAGCAUGACGGUCCGAUCGGCGACCGCCUGGUGCGAUGGCUAUGCGGUGCCGCUGCUCGUUCCGCUGACCGGCUGGCUGCCGGCGCCGUUGCCCUCCCAGAUACGCAACAUGACCGUGUCCGGCACCGGAGUAAUACGCGCCGUUUGCCUAGCGCCGUCGCGGCAACAUCUGAUACUGGCCACCAAUUCAGGCGAUGUGCAGUUGUGGCACAUCAUGAGCAACUCGCUGGAGCACACGUAUAAGGGACACACUGCGGCAGUCACGUGCCUGCUGGUGGCGCCGCAACAGUCGCAGCUGCUGCUGACCGGCUCCGAGGAUACAACUGUUUUGGUCUGGCACGUGUCGCUGCGCGAGCGACGAGCGCACAUUAAAGCCCACACAGCGUCAGUGACAGGCGUGGCAGCUGGUGUCAAUAACACGCUGAUCAUCAGCAGCAGCGAGGAUGCAACCAUCGCCAUCACAGACCUGGCCAGCGGCAAAUUGAUACACCGCAUUAGCUUUCAUCGUGGCCCGGUUAGCGGCAUUCUGGUCGCUGGCGCCUGUGAUGUCCUCAUCUCGGCAAGCCAUGACAAGAACAUAUGUGUCUGGGAUCUGGAGAACUACGCGCUCUUGAACACCAUGCAAAUGACGAGUCCAGUGCUGCGCAUUGAUAUCUCAUGGAAUUCGGUAUUCCUGCUGGCCCUCUGCGAGGACAAUGCGCUCUACGUGCGCACCUUGGCCACCGGCAAGGAGCUGCACACGCUCAAGGGACACAAGUCGCGGAUACGCACCAUAUGCAUUGGCAAGGACAGCCAGCGGUGCGUGGUCGGCUGCGAGGAUACGCGGGCGCUCAUCUAUGACAUGCACUCCGGCAAAUUGGUGCGCUCAAUGCCGCCGAAUCCGGGUCCAGUUACGGCCGUUUAUGCCAUGGACAAUGAUGACUUUCUGAUUACCGUUGGCGGCAACAAAAUCACCUUUUAUUCGUUCAGGAACGAGGAGCUCUAUGUGAAUCCGUACUCGCGGCAUCCGCGCCGCAAGCGCAGCCUGAAGCGGCACGCCCAGGCGCAGCGUUCGCCCUCGACCACGUUACCGCCGAUCACAUGCUUCGACUUGUCGCGCGACUCGCAGCAGCUGGCGAUUGCCUCCGGCCGGAGUGUGCACAUGAUGCGCAUCAAUACGCCGGAAUAUCAGAGCACACUGGAGGGUCACACCUGUGUCGUCAAUUGUCUGAAAUUUGCGCCAAACGGCGAGUUCUUGGCCACGGGCGGCGAGGAUCGUCUGGUGCAGAUCUGGACUCUGGCGCUGGGCGAAAUCAAUCACACAUUCAAGGGACAUGCGGCGCCAGUUAUGCAGCUGGUGGUGCUCAUGGACUCGCUGCGCGUCAUCUCCACGGAUCGUGAGUCGAUGAUGCUCGUGUGGAUGGCCGACUCGGGCAAUCUGCUCCAGACCAUACAGGGUCCGUACAAGAAACUAGCGGCCACCAACAACAUGCGCUUCGCCGUCUCCACGAAUGGCGACAAUACCCUAAAGAUCUGGUCCCUAACGCAGGAGGAUGAAAAGUAUUCCGUCUCGCACUCGGACGAGAUAACCUGCUUCGAGAUUAGCGCGGACAGCAUGCACAUUAUAACUGGCUCCAGGGAUAUGUCGCUGAAGGUGUGGCAAUCGAUGGGCGGCAAGCUGAGCCAGGUGCUCGUCGGUCACAGCGAUGCGGUCACCUGUGUGGCCGUCUCUGUGACCAAUAAAACGCAGGUCAUCUCCGGCUCAAAGGAUAUGAAUCUGAUUAUAUGGGAUUUGCUCACCGGGGAGGAGGUGCACACAUUGGCCGGCCAUUUGGGCGCUGUUAUUGGCGUCAAGGUCUCCGCCGAUGGCUCCACGGCUGUCUCGGGCAGCGAUGACAAGACGUUAAUUGUGUGGGAAACGAAGCGUGGCCUGGCGCUCACAUCGCUGCAGAUGCACGUGCCCUUCACGCACUUCGACAUCAGCCUAGAAGUGUCCCGUGUGCUUGUCCAGCUGGUGGAUAGCUACAAUUUGCCCGUCAUCUGUUUGCAUAAUACGCCGGCACAGUAUGUCAAGCUGCCGACCUAUUCCGGUCCCAGCAAGGAUGUGGAAGAUUUGCGUCCACAGGGCCCCAAGCGACAGAUGAAGCGGCUGCUCAAAAAAGAGGUCUCCCUGGACACAUACACCUGGCAAAAGAAAUAUGGCCAUCUGACCUCCUCCGUGAUGAUGGCCCAGGUGGAUGAGCGCCUGAAGCGACGCUUCAGCGUCUCGGCCAGCAUGGAGGAGAUCUCGAAGAUAGCUGAAACCAAAACGGGCGCCUCCCAAGCCAACUUGGGACCGGAGCAGGCGGCGCUCGCCCAGUCCCAGCAUUUCGAUCAACUGGAGGCGCUGUGGAACAAACGUUCGCCGCCUCGACGACGUCACAAUGCGGGUCUGUCGCGGCAGACGUCGCUGGUGGAGGACCGGCUAGAGUCCUCCGACGAUGAUGAGUAUCAGGAUGAGCGCGCAGCCUCCACCAGUUUGAAAACCAGUUCCCGCAGCUCACUGCAGCAUGCCCCACAACAACAACAACAACAGUAAAAACUACAACAACAAGAACAACACAACUACGCCAGCGAAAGAUAAAUAAUCAAAUAACUAAAUUUUAUAAACUAUAAUUUAGCACUUGGCUAAAACUACGAUUAAAUACAAAAGUUUUGCAUAGAAACCACCCAAAAAGUUAAACCGAAAGCAACUAAAACAAAAUAACUCGUUUUUCUACUUCAAUACAUUUUGUUUAUAAUCUUAUUUGGCAUGCAAGCUUCUCUCUGCAAUUCUCAGCACUUUCCACUUUCCCACUCACACCCAAGUGGAAAUGGAAUUUCAAUUAGAGCACCGAACCCGAUCAAUUCUGUGCCCGACAUGUUCCACAGUUCAAUUUUACUAUACGACGAGCCUAAUUGAUAAAUUUGUACUUUCUAGACGAUUUCGACGAGUUCUUUUAGGUUCACACAAAAACUAAUCUAGUAGAGGGUUAGAAAAUCGGUUUAGUCACGUUUCAAAUCCGCAUUACCUUUCAAAGAUACAAACGUACCUCACUGCAAGUGCUGAAAUAUUUAUGAGAGCUCUACGUAAUUAUAUUAAAUAUAUACAUAUAUAUAUAAAAAUGAACUAAAUAAUCAAAUAACUACACAUCUAAUAAGAAACAAAAAAAAAACAAGCAAGAAAAUGCAAUUAUAUCUUAGAUUGUACUUAGUUGUUGGCCACGCCCACCCGCUGUAAACGGAGCUGCGAAUGAGCUGAAAUCAUUUCGCUACAGGAGGAGGAGGAUACCACAAAGGAUAAGCUGUAAGGCGCACUGGCUAAUUUAUAAAAGUUAAUUACACUAGCUAAUAAGUAAAUGUUUUAAAUGGUAAGCAAUAAUUGAGCAACUAGCUGCAACCUAGACUCUCCCUUCCAAGUGAUCUGUUAAAUGUUUCCUAAAGUUUAAUUAUUUGUUUACAUUUUGGUUUGGUAUUUUUUUUUUUUAAUUAAGCUUAGGUUUGUUUAGAGCGAGCGAGUAAAACUCAACAAUAUUUUGAUUUGCUUGGUUUUUUCCCCAAAAUUACAAAAUUGUAGUCUGUAGUUUCUAAAAAGCAAAAACCACCGUCUCAGACUUUAUAUAGAACCUAGCAUACAUGAUAAGUGAGCCAUUUUGAAAUUUUAAUGUUGUAGAGUGUUUUAUGUACUCAUAAAUAAUAACAACUUGAGCUAUUCAUGUUGUUAUGCAUAUAUAUAUACAUACUUCUAUAUAGAUUGUAGAGAUAUGAUCGAGAAGAAACCAAAUGCAAACCACAAAACUUGAAGGGGUUAAAAGCGUAACUAUGCUUAAUAAACAAAAAGAUACAAAAUGCAGAAAUAAAACUGUAAUUGUCACACUAUUAAUAUGCCACAAAACUAUAAAUUUAUGGAAAACAUUUACUCAAACCAAAAAACAAAAGAAAAAGUAUACAUUUGCAGCACAUUUGAUUUCAGAUCUGUUCAGCAUUGUAUAUACUUAUUAAUGCAUGUGCGCAAUAUGGAGAAAAACAAAAUAUGAAUUGUUUAACACAUAUCCAUAGCGAAGCGUUUGAAUAUUUGUGUAUAACUGUGCAUUAGUUUAAGCCUAAACUCUGUACUAAGCGCACAAUUUAUUUUCUAUCAGUUCUGCACGCACCCUAGUUAACUUCAAUAACUCUCUGACAAUCAGAAGUUCUUGCCUAGAACAAAAAAAUAUAAAAGAAAAUAUAAGAAGAAAGGAAAACAAAACACAAGCCAUGAGAAAUGUUUUAACACAAAGCGAUAUUUCUACACAUAUUUCUACGCAUGCGACAUGUGAACUUGUUUAAUCCUUAACCUAAGAACUAAGAACUCACCCGAUACGAUAACAUAUGUAGUUUUUAGUGUAACCCACAUUGAGCUAUUGUAGGGCCCCAAAGCAACCGAACAAUUCGUAGUAUUUAAAGGCGUAUAUAUAGUAUAUAGAUAUGUAUACAUAUGUGGCUGGCAGUUGAGAGUCCUUUGAGAACCCAGUCGGAGCAUGUGCUAAGUAGAACACACUGUCUAUGUCUAUUACAAAAUUAAACUAAACUUUACUGGAAAACAGCAAAAACAAA
Molecule: RNA transcript, 7676 nt
Organism: Drosophila virilis
Lineage: Eukaryota; Metazoa; Arthropoda; Insecta; Diptera; Drosophilidae
Gene name: protein qui-1
Source: RefSeq, a predicted model, not a curated record